GCAGAACCGUACGGAGCUUCGCCGCCAG
RNAcentral lists this small RNA (28 nucleotides) under Bombyx mori (domestic silkworm). Its description in RNAcentral is "ovarian small RNA-16457". Lineage: Eukaryota; Metazoa; Arthropoda; Insecta; Lepidoptera; Bombycidae. The record is from RNAcentral.